RNAcentral lists this ribosomal RNA (515 nucleotides) under uncultured bacterium. RNAcentral's name for it is "partial 16S ribosomal RNA". It matches the Rfam family "Bacterial small subunit ribosomal RNA", at positions 28 to 523 of the family's 1533-position model. The record is from RNAcentral.
GAUGAACGCUGGCGGCGUGCAUAAUAGAUGCAAGUCGAGCGAAUGGAUUCAGAGCUUGAUCUUAUGAAGUUAGCGGCGGACGGGUGAGUAAUACGUGGGUAACCUGCCCAUAAGACUAGGAUAACUACGGGUAAACGGGGCUCAUGCUGGAAAAACUUUUGAAACGCACGGAUCAGAAGUGAAAUGCGGUAUCGCGUAUCAUUUCUGAGGAGACCCGGGUCGCAUUAGCUAGUUGGUGAGGUAACGGCUCACCAAGGCAACGAUGCGUAGCCGACCUGAGAGGGUGAUCGGCCACACUGGGACUGAGACACGGCCCAGACUCCUACGGGAGGCAGCAGUAGGGAAUCUUCCGCAAUGGACGAAAGUCUGACGGAGCAACGCCGCGUGAGUGAUGAAGGCUUUCGGGUCGUAAAACUCUGUUGUUAGGGAAGAACAAGUGCUAGUUGAAUAAGCUGGCACCUUGACGGUACCUAACCAGAAAGCCACGGCUAACUACGUGCCAGCCGCCGCCGUAA